Molecule: ribosomal RNA, 490 nt
Filed under: uncultured bacterium
Lineage: Bacteria
Description: partial 16S ribosomal RNA
Rfam family: Bacterial small subunit ribosomal RNA
Source: RNAcentral
AGUGAACGCUGGCGGUAGGCCUAACACAUGCAAGUCGAACGGCAGCACAGGAGAGCCUGCUCUCUGGGUGGCGAGUGGCGGACGGGUGAGGAAUACAUCGGAAUCUGCCCAGUCGUGGGGGAUAACGUAGGGAAACUUACGCUAAUACCGCAUACGACCUUCGGGUGAAAGAGGGGGAUCGCAAGACCUCUCGCGAUUGGAUGAGCCGAUGUCGGAUUAGCUAGUUGGCGGGGUAAUGGCCCACCAAGGCGACGAUCCGUAGCUGGUCUGAGAGGAUGAUCAGCCACACUGGAACUGAGACACGGUCCAGACUCCUACGGGAGGCAGCAGUGGGGAAUAUUGGACAAUGGGCGCAAGCCUGAUCCAGCCAUACCGCGUGGGUGAAGAAGGCCUUCGGGUUGUAAAGCCCUUUUGUUGGGAAAGAAAUCUUUCAGGCUAAUACCCUGGGAGGAUGACGGUACCCAAAGAAUAAGCACCGGCUAACUUCGUG